Molecule: long non-coding RNA, 2018 nt
Filed under: Homo sapiens (human)
Lineage: Eukaryota; Metazoa; Chordata; Mammalia; Primates; Hominidae
Description: HSALNT0161328
Source: RNAcentral
GAGUGUUUAUUUUUUAAUUGAUGUGCUGUUUCAUUUAGCGCUUGUAUGGAACUCAUGCUGGGGCAGUAAUUACUGUAAUCUCGGGAACAAGCAUUUCAGUUAGCCAGGAGGGUGGCAGAAUAUGUUUCUCUCUCUCUUUCUCUCCCUCCCUCCCGCCUCCUCCCCAUCUCCGUCCCCCUCUCUCCCUCUUCCUCCCUGCCUCUCUUCUGUCUUCCCUCUCUCUCUCUCCCCACCUCCUUUCCUUCUCUCUCUCCCCCACCACUUUCUCUCCCCCCUCCUCCUCUUCCCCUCCUCCCUCUCCUUCCUUCCCUCCCUUUUCUCUCCGCUCUCUCACUCUCUUCUUGUUUCAAGAUUUUUGCUAUUUGCCAGGUUUCAUACCGGAACAAGUACAGUUGGAGAACAAAAGUUGCAGAGGGCGUGGGGACAGAGCAAAAGAAUUAAAAGUACAUUUGAGGCCAGUUCCGGUUUUCGGGGCGCUGCUGGUGGUGGUGGUAGCUCGUGGUUGUCCGUUCAGAAACAACUCUUGUCAUAAAACAAAAAUAACCAGCAGUAUUUGUAGAUUGCUUGAGCUGAUGGCAUCUAUGUCUUCCUCCUCCUGCUUUCUGUAGCUCAGUUAGCAACCUCAUUAUGAAACAUAUUACAAGUAGACUGUCAGACCGCACCCUGCCCCAGCGCCCCGUUUUUGGCAAGUUCUGUGUUCUAGGCAUAUCCACCAAUCUAUAGUUAUACCCCCCUAUCUUUUUAACUUUUUUAGUUUUAGUCUAUAGAGUUGAACCUCUUUAUACUGAAAAACAACACUUCCUUCCCACUUUUGUUUUGGAAAAACUAAAGUCCGUAGGAAUUCGGAAUUCAAAGGCUUCAGAAAUAUUAGCUGAUUCAGCAGAAAACGGGCUAUUCAAAAAUACAGACUAGACCUUUACUUGAUUAAAAAAUUUUUUUUCUUUUCUCACCUCCUGCAAAUCGGAAUUCCCACUUGUAUGUUGAAUGUAGAAAUUCACUAUCUCUGCGGUUGGCACCUUGUUUCCAGAGGGCGAGUCUCCAGAACGCAUCAGCUGCAGGUCAAGAUGAAAAGUUUGAUGAUGUGGAAUGUGGAAAUUUUGGGUAAGUAUGUUAAGUUUGCAUGAGAAAAUAAGCAGACUGAAGUUCAGAAUUUCAAAAAUCAUAUCAGCUAUUUGGGAGAUCUUAGUGAUUUGUGAGGUUAAAACCAGUUACAUAAAAGUCAUGACAAAUGUACUUUUAAUUGAGAGAAUAUAAGAAUCGCAUUUUACAUCUACUGUUAAAUUAAACGGCUACUUGGUAGUCUUUCAGAGAAGGGAGAGACUUCUGUAGCCAAUUAGUGCGUAAAAGGUAAUGAUGGGUUACCUAGAAGUAACCAGAACAUAUAUCAACUUCUAUGGCUAAAUAAUGAUAUUUUCAUUGUAUGUAAAGCAGCUGUUUUUUAGGGGAGGGGAAAUAGCUUUAGUAGUGACAUAAAUAAUGUAGGGAAGUUUCUAAAGGGAUUUCUGAGCAGAUGGCUUGUUGCUGAAUGGCCUGCAAGCAAAUAAUGUAAACAGUUGGAAUCAGGAAUCUACCUCAGAGGAGGGAAGGUUUUACAAAACGUUGGCUACCGAGUUAGACAGGGGACUAUCAAUACUGUCUGUAACAAAUUUAAGAAACUUUGGGGAAAUCAUGUUCCAGUGGAUUACCAUCUAAAAAUCCAAUAUAAGAAUCUGGAUGGAAGAGAGAGCCUGGCAUAUACUAACAGAAUGAUACGUUCCAAAGAUUAAAUGAGGAACUCUUUGGUAACUAAUACAAUUUCUCAGGUGUUAUAAACUGCCAAAUAUUGGCCAGAUACGGUGACUCAUGCCUGUAAUCCCAGCACUUUGGGACGCUGAGGCAGGCAGAUCGCUUGAGUCUAGGAGUUCGAGACCAGCCUGGGCAACAUAGCAAAACCCUGUCUCUACAAAAAAUACAAACAUGAGCUGGGUGCGGUGGCAUGUGCCUGUAGUCCCAGCUACACCAGAGGCUGAGGUGGGAGG